This 1097-nucleotide long non-coding RNA is filed under the name Numida meleagris (helmeted guineafowl). RNAcentral describes it as "lncRNA (ENSNMEG00000012627.1)". The record is from RNAcentral. Lineage: Eukaryota; Metazoa; Chordata; Aves; Galliformes; Numididae.
AAAAGAGAACAGCAAUAUUUCAAAAAGUAUUUUAUAAUGUUUUAGGUGUUGAUACAGCUCUCUCCAUUGAGAGCUGUAGCAAGAAAUAUAUGUGCAUAGUUUGACAUUAGCUGGAGAUGUGGUCAUUAGAUUGUGUUCACCUGGACCAGUCUGAAAACGGAGUGGCAGAACAUCCAGAGGGCGACCGGUCAGCUGCAGCAGGGUGGCUGUGCCAUCGGACCAGCCAGCAGGGCCAGCCCACCAGGAUUGUGAAAUAUGAUGAUUCAAUCAAACACUGAGAUUUCAUAGUGCCAGCAGCUGACUUUGAAAAUUCAGGUUUGUUUUCUUAAAACUGGAUAAUAUUAACCCUGGUUAGGAAACUCCUGCUGGUUGACCUCAGUGCGCCCCACCGGUCUACUGUGCACACAGACUGAUGUUGCAAAACUUUGUUCUGGACAGCAGGUGUGGAUCUCACUGUUUGGAGUUCACUUGUCUCUGCAGGCAGACAGGCCUGUCAUUGCUUGGUUCUCAGGCUGUUUUGCUUUGUGUCGGGGGGCAACCCCUGUGGGAUUGCUGGGAGUAGUGCCACAUGCGGACUGGUGCAGUGCAGAGAUGUGCUGUGCCACUGUGCAUUCCUUUCCCAUCCUCUGUGCCAGUACUGGAGCAGUGUGAUUAGGGAAUAAGUGAGCUUUUUACCAAUCAGAAUUAGUCUCCAGCCUGCUCGUUCCUUCCAGGCAAUGUGUGAAAGGGAGGAGAAUUGAAUUUGGUGACUGUGAAUUUAGUUCAUGAUUCUUUCGAGAAGGGAACCUCUCUACUGCUAAUCUGUUAUGGUAUACAUGAGAAGAUGUCCCCCUGGAGACUUCAUUUACUGGCCUAUUUCUUGUAGGUUGUUUCAUUCAUGAGAUACUGAGCUUCCAAAAUGGCUUUUAAAACAAAGAGUGCUUAAUGUUGCAUAAUAAGCUGGAAGUCACUCAUGUCUGGGGCAUAGCUGGCAGUUCUGCCCUGACGCUGAAGCUAGAAAUCAUGACACUUCCAGUACCUGAAAAUCAUAAGUAUUUCCCAGCCAUAUGUGCAUAUUUGGCUAAUGAAUAACAUUCCUUAGGGUUAUUUAAAAGAAU